GCACUUGCCCGGCGGUCUGGAGCCAGAACAUCAGGGGCUGACUGGCAGGGAGCACCUGGACCAACGAGGCUGUGAGGGGCUCUAGUGAGCACAUGCUCUCCCAGAGGGGACCCGUGCUGGAAGCCAGGUCGGGCGGAGAUAAGCUGGAGAAGCCAAGCUGCGACAAAGGCCCCUGAUGCGUUGGGGGGCGGAGCGGGGGAUCGCCGGCUCUGCCCAUCUCCACACUCACUGCCGACCUGCCCAAAGAACCAGCCUGGCCCCUCUCCCUCAGACUGCCACUCUUCCAGUGUCAGGACUUGGAUUUCAGGCGGGGCCUGCCGGCCACAGCCGGGCUAUCUCUUUAAGUGGCAGCCACCCCAGGGAAUACAGCAGCCUAAUAGACCACCGUUUGGGGCAGAAAUGUCGCACGAAAGGAAGGUGACGACCAGCACAAGUUCAGCCCAUGCCCACCUUACAGGAAGCAAAGUGCUAGGAGGAAUGGUGGUGAGGCCCCAGAGCGGCCUGCCUCCCACAGGCGGUGUUGUCUGCAGAGCGCCCACCUGUGGCCGGGGGCUAUCACUGCAGUUGGGUCGGCAGGAGCUACUUUUCCUAACACCCCCAGAGCUCCCCAUUCUCAGGCAUUGAAAUGAGUGCUGCCACACAGCUGGAGUCUGUCCUGUGACGACUGUGAGGCUGGACAAGCAGAUGCAAGGAAGCAAACAUCUUCGAGUACCUCUGGGAGCUUAAAAGAGUGAAAACAGACCCAAACCUGAAAAACAUGACAGUCUGGUAACUGGAGUAAAAGCAUAGUCACAGUUACAAAAGUUCUGAGGUGCAGAGGGAGAAGGAAUUGUAGAAACUGGCUGUUGCUGGUGCUGCUAAUCAGGAAAUAUGUGGCGUGCCCCAGGGAGAGACCGGCCUGAGACUAAAUGUUUUCAGAUUAUUCUGCGGCCGUGUGUGGGAUGGGCUGCAGGAGACCUGGCAGGAGUCCUGAAAGGCCAGGCAGGAGGCAAGAAGGGACCCAGGGAAGAAGCACCGGCCCCUGAGGGGCUGUGGUGCUGAGGAAGGAACCCAGCAGGACUCCCGGAAGUUGAGAUGGAGUGAGAGGGAGCAGAGCAAGGGUGCAGUUUUUGCUUAGCCUCGUGGCCAAAGGGCACCGCAGGGAUGAGAGCACUCAGGGCACCUUGUGCUUUUGAAACUGAUAGGAAAGGAACACCUUGUUUCCCACCAAACUCAGAUUCUGUACCCUGGUUUGGCGUGUACCCUGGGGUAUUUCUGUGGACUCCAGUUCCCCCUAUGAUGAUAUAUUUAACUCCCCUGUUAGGACUUCAGAGCUCAUCAAAAGCCCUUAAAAAUGUGCUAACAGCCCUUAAUGAACUCUGAAGCCUUCAAUUAAAUUAAACUGUCAGAAAUAAAGCCCUGACAGCAGUGCCAAGGGCAUGGGGGGUGGGGACAGUGGCAGCUCAGAGGCCAGAGCUCUGGUUUCACUUCCUAUCUGGAAGAGCCCUUUUGGAGAAGGGGGACCCAGCAGUAUGGCCCCCUCCACCGACACCUCUCACAGUCCUGGGCCACUGCACACCUCCCUUGGCCAAAGUUUGGGAAGAGAAAGCGGGCCCAGCUUCCCUGAGGACACACAGGCCCCUUGUUCGCCAAGAAGUCUGCCUUGACUUCGGUGUCAGGGCCGAGUGCCAGGCAGGGCAGAACCCUUGGGCUGCAGCCUCUUCCUGCUGGGAGGGUGGGAGUGCAGCCAGGAGCUUGGGGGGACAGGGUGGUGGAGCUGGUCAUUUGUAGAGAACUCAGUCCUCGGGCUGUGGGGUGAGGACAGAGUGGAGGGGGGUGACCGUGAAGACAAAAGAAAGAUGGGGCACUGUCUCCACCCCCAGGCUUAUGAAAGAAGGGAUGAACCGGCAAAGGAAAAUGGCCUUUCUCCAUCUCGGCCAACAGUCUGGGUGUCCUGGCUCC
Molecule: non-coding RNA, 1941 nt
Organism: Kogia breviceps (pygmy sperm whale)
Lineage: Eukaryota; Metazoa; Chordata; Mammalia; Artiodactyla; Physeteridae
Source: RefSeq, a predicted model, not a curated record